Oncorhynchus keta (chum salmon) is the source of this 6824-nucleotide RNA transcript. It is a transcript of the gene named semaphorin-5B-like, with no coding region annotated. The transcript has 19 exons. The record is from RefSeq and is a predicted model, not a curated record. NCBI's taxonomy places the organism in Eukaryota, Metazoa, Chordata, Actinopteri, Salmoniformes, Salmonidae.
CCAGGCAGAUAGCCACUUGGUAGGAGAGAGACACGUACCGGACAGUGGAUACUCUAUGGGCUACUGUGCAUAGGCCAACGCGCUCUGCUUCAGCCUUCGUAUGAAACUAACUUUCUCCAGCAACAUAAAUGCACCAAUAAAGAAAGGUGUGUCCUGGAAGGACCAGUUAGAGGUAUGGUGGGAGUGGUUGGCCCCGUAACCAUGACGACGUCUCUGUGGGAGUUUGUGUCCCUUCAUCCCGUUGGUCUAGUGCUGCUCCUCUGCCUGCCACUCGGUCUAUGCCAGCAGCCAUUGGUCAACUUUGAGAGUCCGUUCCCACCCCUACCGGAGUGUACCAGGAAAGUUCAUCCCAUCGUCCCAUACAAAGCAUUGAGUCCCUGGAUGUCAGGAUUCUCUCGUCCCGGAGUGAAGGACUUUUCCCAGCUGACCCUUGACCUGACCAGAAACCAGCUGAUUGUGGGAGCUAGAAAUCACCUCUUCAGACUAAGUCUCAGUAAUGCUUCUCUCUUACAGGCAGUAGAAUGGGGACCAGAUGAAGACACCAAGCGGUCCUGUCAGAGCAAAGGAAAGACAGAGGAUGAAUGUCAGAACUACAUCCGGGUCCUGCUUAUCACCGGGAGGCGGAUCUUUACCUGUGGAACCAACGCCUUUACCCCCGUCUGCACCACCCGGCAGAUAGGAAACAUCAGUCGGGUGAUGGACACGGUGAACGGGGUGGCGAGAUGCCCCUACGACCCGCGUCACAACUCCACUGCCAUGGUAACAGAGAAGGGCGAACUCUACGCCGCCACUGUCAUCGACUUCUCGGGUCGUGACCCCGUCAUCUACCGUAGCCUUGGUAACAUGCCGCCGCUGCGAACAGCCCAGUACAACUCCAAAUGGCUCAACGACCCUCACUUUAUCUCAGUCUACGAGGUGGGUCUCUUCACCUAUUUCUUCCUGAGAGAGAACGCAGUCGAACACGACUGCGGUCGCACCGUGUUCUCCCGGGUCGCCCGGGUCUGUAAGAACGACGUGGGCGGUCGCUUCCUAUUGGAGGACACUUGGACUACGUUCAUGAAGGCGCGGUUGAACUGCUCGCGGUCAGGAGAGAUCCCCUUCUACUAUAACGAACUGCAGAGCACCUUCUAUCUGCCAGAACAGGACCUCAUCUACGGCAUCUUCACCACCAACGUGAACAGCAUCUCUGCGUCGGCUGUGUGUGCUUUCAACCUCAGCGCCAUCACCCAGGCGUUCAACGGACCGUUCCGUUACCAGGAGAACCCUCGUACAAGCUGGCUCUCCACCCCCAACCCCAUCCCCAACUUCCAGUGUGAUACCCUGGAGGAGCGAGGUCCAGGGGAGAACCAGACGGAGCGCAGCCUGCAGGACGCCCAGCGUCUCUUCCUCAUGUCUGACGUGGUGCAGCCCGUCUCCACCGACCCCCUCCUGUACCAGGACAACAUCCGCUUCUCCAAGCUGGUGGUGGACAUCGUGCAGGGCCGAGACACCCUCUACCACGUCAUGUACAUCGGCACUGAAUACGGCACCAUCCUGAAGGCCCUCUCCACGACCAAUAAGAGCAUGCGUGGGUGUUACCUGGAAGAGAUGAGGCUCCUCCCUGAGGGCGAAAGCGAGCCAAUCAAGAGCCUUCAAAUCCUCCACAGCGAUAGGUCGUUGUUUGUGGGGCUUAGCGACAGGGUGCUGAAGAUCCCACUGGAAAGAUGCUCCAGCUACAAAACUGAACGGCACUGCCUGGACGCCCGAGACCCCUACUGUGGCUGGGACCGUAAGCAGAAGCGUUGCACCACCAUCGAGGACAGUUCCAACAUGAGCCAGUGGAGCCAGAAUAUCACUGAGUGCCCGGUAAGGAACCUGACCCAGGACGGUGGCUUCAGCCCCUGGGCGCCAUGGCAACCCUGUAACCAUGACGACAGGGAGGGAGCCAGCACCAGUUGCGCGUGUCGCUCACGCUCUUGUAACAGUCCAGUCCCUCAGUGUGGAGGCUCCAACUGCAAGGGCCCCACCAUCCAGGUGGCCAACUGUUCCAGGAACGGAGGCUGGACCCCCUGGUCCACCUGGGGUCAGUGCAGCACCAGCUGUGGCAUCGGGUACGAGGUGCGCCAGCGCUCCUGCAACAACCCCUCCCCCCGGCAUGGGGGGCGUGUCUGUGUGGGACAAGGCCGAGACGAGAGGCUGUGCAAUGAGAAGAGCCCAUGUCCCAUGCCUGUGUUCUGGACAUCUUGGGGCUCCUGGUCUCAGUGCAGUGCAAAGUGUGGAGGAGGGGUCCAUUCCCGGGUCAGGAGCUGUGAGAAGGGGAACACCUGCCCAGGAUGUGCUCUGGAGUACAAGACCUGUAACCUGGAGGCGUGUCCGGAGGUCCGUCGCAACACCCCCUGGACCCCCUGGAUGCCGGUGAAUGUGACCCAGGACGGGGCCCGCCAGGAGCAGAGGACCCGCUACACCUGCAGGGCCCUCCUUCCAGACCCUCAUCAGCUGCAGCUGGGCAAGAAGAAGGUGGAGACCCGCGUCUGCCCCAACGACGGCACCGCCGCCUGUGAGACUGAAGCUCUGGUUGAAGACUUGGUCAGGGCCAGUGGAGGAGGCAGUAGUGGUCGACCUUUGCUCCGACAACCAGGUGGCACCAGGUGGUCGCCGUGGGAGACAUGGUCGACCUGCUCCCAGGAGUGUGCCAAAGGCUUCCGCACACGCAAGCGCACCUGUGCCUCAGCCGAGGGCAAGAGCAGCCCCAGUGCCUGUAGUGGAUCCCCAGUGGAGUACCAGGACUGCAACUCCCAGCCCUGCCCAGGUAAGACACUGACUACUCCAGUGCCUGUAGUGGAUCCCCAGUGGAGUACCAGGACUACAACUCCCAGCCCUGCCCAGGUAAGACACUGACUACUCCAGUGCCUGUAGUGGAUCCCCAGUGGAGUACCAGGACUACAACUCCCAGCCCUGCCCAGGUAAGACACUGACUACUCCAGUGCCUGUAGUGGAUCCCCAGUGGAGUACCAGGACUACAACUCCCAGCCCUGCCCAGGUAAGACACUGACUACUCCAGUGCCUGUAGUGGAUCCCCAGUGGAGUACCAGGACUACAACUCCCAGCCCUGCCCAGGUAAGACACUGACUACUCCAGUGCCUGUAGUGGAUCCCCAGUGGAGUACCAGGACUACAACUCCCAGCCCUGCCCAGGUAAGACACUGACUACUCCAGUGCUACUGUAUAUCUGCUCAAAUACUGUACUGAUCAAUUCACCUAACGGGCAGUGUAGAACCGAGAUUGGGAUUCCUUCAAAGCUGACAAUAGCCUUUCUCGGAGAUCGCAUUCAUGGUAAAAGCUGCUUAAGCGUAAAUUUCCUUUAAAAGUCUGUAGUGAAAAACAAACUGGUCUAUAAUAAACAUGAAUAAAAUGUUUUGUUUUCAUGUGCAGAAAAACAUGUUAAAAAAACCUCCGUAUCUGGAUAAAUAGUUAACCCCUUACACUCGUGGGCCUUUAUGGAUUGGGCUAAAUUGAAAUGUUUCUUGCAGAAGAAAUAUGGAAAGUAUAUGCAUAACCAUGAUAGCAAUUAAAAGGGAACAGUUGGAGAUGAUGGGAAAAUGAUGACUAAAGUUGAGGACACAACAGUUCACCUGACUGACACAAGACUGAAUCCAAUUUACGUGCAUUUUACAUUUACUCUACUUUUUGACGCAUUUGUCGAUAACAAAAUCAAAGAAGUGUCAACUAUAAGGUACUAUUUUUAGCUCUCCUUGUUGUUUUGUUUGGAACACAACCUGCAUCCCUCCUUCACACAAUUACUGUUGUUGUUUUGUUUGGAACACAACCUGCAUCCCUCCUUCACACAAUUACUGUUGUUGUUUUCGCAUUCCAAAAACAGUCCAUUAUAAAUCACAAUCUGGGUCAGAUGGGCAUCAGUUGAAAGCUUGUUCUACUGCCAACAUGACUAGCUAAAUGAUAAAAUACGUUUUUUCACAAGGCAAUUCAGAGAAGCAGGUCAUCAUUUUGAUGCGCAUAGAAUGGAGUCAUGAACAGUGGUGUUAAGUACUUAAGUAAAAAUACUUUCAAAUACUACUUAAGUAGUUUUUUGGCAUAUCUGUACUUUACUAUUUAUAUUUUUGACAACUUUUGCUUUUACUCCAAUACAUUCCUAGUAGAAAAUAAUGUACUUUUUACUCCAUACAUUUUCCUUAACACCCAAAAUUACUAGUUACAUUUUGAAUGCUUUGCAGGACAGGAAAAUGGUCUAAUUCAUGCACUUAUCAAGAGAACAUCCUUGGUCAUCCCUACUGCCUCUGAUCUGGCAGACUCACUAAACAGAGAACAUCCUUGGUCAUCCCUACUGCCUCUGAUCUGGCAGACUCACUAAACACAAAUGCUUAGUUUGUAAAUGAUGUCUGAGUGUUGAAGUGUGCCCCUGGCUAUCCGUAAAUGUAAAAAAACAAGAAAAUCAUACCGUCAGGUUUGCUUAAUAUUAGGAAUUUGAAAUUAUUUAUACUUUUACUUUUGAUACCUACAGUUGAAGUGGGAAGUUUACAUACACCUUAGCCAAAUACAUUUAAACUCAGAUUUUCACAAUUCCUGACAUUUAAUACUAGUAAAAUACCCUGUCUUAGGUCAGUUAGGAUCACCACUUUAUUUUAAGAAUGUGAAAUGUCAGAAUAAUAGUAGAUAGAAUUAUUUAUUUCAGCUUUUAUUUACUUCAUCAUGGGUAGCCUUCCACAAGCUUCCCACAAUAAGUUGUGUGAAUUUUGGCCCAUUCCUCCCAACAGAGCUGGUGUAACUGAGUCAGGUUUGUAGGCCUCCUUACUCGCACACGCUUUUUCAGUUCUGCCAACAAAUUUUCUUUAGGAUUGAGAUCAGGGCUUUGUGAUGGCCACUCCAAUACCUGACUUUGUUGUCCUUAAGCCAUAACUUUGGAAGUUUGCUUGGGGUCAUUGGAAAUUUGGAAGACCCAUUUGCGACCAAGCUUUAACUUCCUGACUGAUGUCUUGAGAUGUUGCUUCAAUAUAUCCACAUACUUUUCUUCCCUCAUGAUGCCAUCUAUUUUGUGUACCCCCACAACAUGAUGCUGCCACCCCUGUGAUUCACGGUUGGGAUGGUGUUCAUUGGCUUGCAAGCCUCCCCCUUUUUCCUCCAAACAUAACGACGGUUAUUAUGGCCAAACAGUUCUAUUUUUGUUUCAUCAGACCAGAGGACAUUUCUCCAAAAAGUUCAAUCUUUGUCCCAAUGUGCAGUUGCAAACCGUAGUCUGGCUUUUUUAUGGCGGUUUUGGAGCAGUGGCUUCUUCCUUGCUGAGCGGCCUUUCGGGUUAUGUCGAUAUAGGACUCGUUUUACUAUGGAUAUAGAUACUUUUGUACCUGUUUCCUCCAGCAUCUUCACAAGGUCCUUUGAUGUUGAUCUGGGAUUGAUUUGCACUUUUCACACCAAAGUACGUUAAUCUCUAGGAGACAGAACGUGUCUCCUUCCUGAGCGGUAUGACGACUGCGUGGUCCCAUGGUAAUAAUAAUAUCCAAAGCGACUUACAGUCAUGUGUGCAUACAUUCUACGUAUGGGUGGUCCCGGGAAUCGAACCCACUACCCUGGCGUUACAAGCGCCAUGCUCUACCAACUGAGCUACAGAAGGACCACCCAUGGUGUUUAUACUUGCGUACAGAUUUGUACCUUCAGGCAUUUGGAUGAACCAGACAAGGAUGAACCAGACUUGUGGAGGUCUUGGCUGAUUUCUUUUGAUUUUCCCAUGAUGUCAAGCAAAGAGGCACUGAGUUUGAAGGUAGGCCUUGAAAUACAUCCACAGGUACACCUCCAAUUGGCUCAAAUGAUGUCAAUUAGCCUAUCAGAAGCUUCUAAAGCCAUGACAUAAACAGAUUUUCCAAGCUGUUUAAAGGCACAGUCAACUUAGUGUAUGUAAACUUCUGACCCACUGGAAUUGUGAUACAGUGAAUUAUAAGUUAAAUAAUCUGUCUGUAAGCAAUUGUUGGAAUAAUGACUUGUGUCAUGCACAAAGUAGAUGUCCUAACCAACUUGCCAAAACUAUAGUUUGUUAACAAGAAAUUUGUGGAGUGGUUGAAAAACGACUUUUAAUGACUCCAACUUCCGUCUUAUAUUUUUGUGAUUACAUGUACUUCUGAUACUUAAGUACAUUUAAGACCAAAUACUUUUAAACUUUUACUCAAGAAGUAUUUUACUGGGUGACUUUCACUUUCACUUCAUUUUCUUUUAAGGUAUCGAUACUUUUACUCAAGUAGGACAGUUGGGUACUUUUCCCACCACUGGGAAUGAAUGUAUUCUGCUGCGUGGUCCACGGAACAUGUUGACAAUGUAACUAACACAGACUCAUUCUGUUCAGGACAACCCAGGGUAUAACACAGACUCAUUCUGUUCAGGACAACCCAGGGUAUAACACAGACUCAUUCUGUUCAGGACAACCCAGGGUAUAACAGACUCAUUCUGUUCAGGACAACCCAGGGUAUAACACAGACUCAUUCUGUUCAGGACAACCCAGGGUAUAACACAGACUCAUUCUGUUCAGGACAACCCAGGGUAUAACUCAGACUCAUUCUGUUCAGGACAACCCAGGGUAUAACUCAGACUCAUUCUGUUCAGGACAACCCAGGGUAUAACACAGGCUCAUUCUGUUCAGGACAACCCAGGGUAUAACACAGGCUCAUUCUGUUCAGGACAACCCAGGGUAUAACACAGACUCAUUCUGUUCAGGACAACCCAGGGUAUAACACAGACUCAUUCUGUUCAGGACAACCCAGGGUAUAACACAGACUCAUUCUGUUCAGGACAACCCAGGGUAUAACACAGACUCAUUCUGUUCAGGACAACCCAGGGUAUAAC